RNAcentral lists this ribosomal RNA (254 nucleotides) under uncultured bacterium. RNAcentral describes it as "partial 16S ribosomal RNA". It matches the Rfam family "Bacterial small subunit ribosomal RNA", at positions 524 to 776 of the family's 1533-position model. The record is from RNAcentral.
CACGUAGGCACCAAGCGUUGUCCGGAUUUAUUGGGCGUAAAGAGCUCGUAGGCGGUUCAGUAAGUCGGGUGUGAAAACUCAGGGCUCAACCCUGAGCGGCCACCCGAUACUGCUGUGACUUGAGUCUGGUAGGGGAGUGGGGAAUUCCUGGUGUAGCGGUGAAAUGCGCAGAUAUCAGGAGGAACACCGGUGGCGAAGGCGCCACUCUGGGCCACGACUGACGCUGAGGAGCGAAAGCAUGGGUAGCGAACAGG